UACGGAGGGUGCAAGCGUUAAUCGGAAUUACUGGGCGUAAAGCGUGCGCAGGCGGUUUGUUAAGUCCGCUGUGAAAUCCCCGAGCUCAACUUGGGAAUUGCAGUGGAUACUGGCAAGCUGGAGUAUGGUAGAGGAGGGUGGAAUUCCCGGUGUAGCAGUGAAAUGCGUAGAGAUCGGGAGGAACACCAGUGGCGAAGGCGGCCUUCUGGACCAAUACUGACGCUCAUGCACGAAAGCGUGGGGAGCAAACAGG
Molecule: ribosomal RNA, 253 nt
Filed under: uncultured bacterium
Lineage: Bacteria
Description: partial 16S ribosomal RNA
Rfam family: Bacterial small subunit ribosomal RNA
Source: RNAcentral